CAAGUUAAAGCUUGUAUAAGUAUUUUAUUUACACUAAAAAGUUAAUUGUGAAACUCAAUUUAACUUGA
RNAcentral lists this transfer RNA (68 nucleotides) under Curculionoidea sp. 26 KM-2017. Its description in RNAcentral is "tRNA-Val". Lineage: Eukaryota; Metazoa; Arthropoda; Insecta; Coleoptera. The record is from RNAcentral.